RNAcentral lists this long non-coding RNA (1810 nucleotides) under Arabidopsis thaliana (thale cress). Its description in RNAcentral is "ncRNA (AT1G03545)". Lineage: Eukaryota; Viridiplantae; Streptophyta; Magnoliopsida; Brassicales; Brassicaceae. The record is from RNAcentral.
AAAGUCGAGUAUUGCACGUCAUGGGUUAGAAAAACAGAUGGAUUCAAGUGAUUUACAGUGCUGAUAAAUUCUGGAGUAGAAGAAGUUGAGAAACCUGAAUGACCCAGAUAUUGAGAAGUGUUUCGAUGCAGAAGAACCCAGCACCAAUGAAAUACAUUAUCUGUGAGGGUGAAAAAGAAGAAAAUUAGGUGAGGACUAAGAAGACUCUCACAAUCCGAAGUAAAGUACUUGUAAAUAGACAGAAAGGUUACGUACCCCGACUGCAGCAUUAGUAGUUAGAAGCUCGAUUGCUGGCAAGAAACCUCUGUUCAUAUAACCAACAAUGCAUGGAUCAGAUGGAGAUCAUCAAAGACUCAAAAGGUUUUUAACAUGUUCAUGAAAUGACGAAUCGUUAAAGAAUGUAAAACUUAAAAGGCUGAUUCUGAUGCUUUUAUCUAGAAGAAAACUCUUACGUGAGAGACUUUCCUUGGAAGAUGACUGGUGGAGCAACUGCAGCAAAGCCGCAGAACGCGAUGUGGAACUGAAAAGUGCAAGACACGGGUUUAUUUACUCAUGGCUUCUUGAAAAACUUAAAUGCAGAGGAAAUCUACCAAUAGAAAUUCGGUUUUCUUACCACGUAAAAAAAGAAAAAAGCUCCAAACUUCAGGGCACUAUCAGUUCUGCAAGAGCUCGGUAAAGAGGACGGUACCAUAAGACGUACGCUCCAGGUACCCCAGCAAGGAAGUAAAUUAUUGAGAGAAGCCAUAUAGUGGGACCUGAUUACAAAACAGAACACAUCAGAUGAUUCAACAUGGUCAGAGGAAUUAACAUUACGAAUCUGAUCGUUUAGCGGUCUAAGAAGGGUUCACAUACCUAACAAUGUGGUGAAUGCGACGUAUUGGAUCUUCUGUAAAUGAAUUGGAAUCUCAUUUGGAAUGUCAUGAUGAAUUAAAGGAAAAAACUCCGGCCAAUUCUUCUCUUCAAUGACAACUCCAGCUGCCAAAACAACCGUAUCAAGUUAGCUACAAAAACCCGUAAAAGGUCAUUGGAAGAUGUAAAAAGACAUAUAGAAGAUUGCACUACUUCGUGCUAUUGCGUCCUCUCUUCUUUUAAGCUCCUGUAUUGCAAUGAGAAGAAGAAGACUGUUAGAUACAGUCCUCAUUGAAUCAGUAGGUCUAAAGAUUAUAUUUGAAUAUCGCCCAAGAGACUCGGUUACUAGAAAUCACCUGCUCUUUCCGCUUCAAUUCGUUCUCCUUGGCCUGGAGUUCCAUCUCUUUAGCUCGAAGAUCCUGCGAACAGAAUCAGCAAAAUGAAAACUUCCGUUUUCAUCUAACCAGAUUUUGAGUAAACAUGAAAGGCAAAAUGCAGAAGGUAUUGAAAAUAUCGUACAUUGCCAGAAUCCAAAGGGAUAUCAACGGUUGCACCACGAUCAUAAGGUUCCGGUGGAAGUGGCUUGAGAUAAGAGUUGCUCGCAGGAGGAACACUUGUAUGAUUCUACAACAUAAUAAAUUGAGAUCAAAUGGAGAAAGACUACAGAAAGAUCAGACAUUAGUAUUCAGUCAUUAUGAAACAGAGCUCUUUACCGCAAAAGGAUUGAUCUCUUCAUCAGCAAAUGGAUUAGGAUCGUGUCGUGCCAUUCUUUGAGAUCGUUUGUUUUAAGAUCAAGAAACUUAUUCAAUAACAGAGUUUUUGGAGUUGGUUGGUGAAUUUUGACAGAAAUCGAAAAUGGGAAGAAACUGGUUUGAACGAAUGGAUACUUUGUAGUCAGAGAGAGAAAACUAAAUCAAUGGCGCCAGAGAAAUCGAAGGCAUUUUAGAGGGUGCUCGCUUCG